GAUGAAGAACGUAGCGAAAUGCGAUAAGUAAUGUGAAUUGCAGAAUUCAGUGAAUCAUCGAAUCUUUGAACGCACAUUGCGCCCCGUGGUAUUCCGAGGGGCAUGCCUGUUCGAGCGUCAUUAUAACCCCUCAAGCUCAGCUUGGUGUUGGGGCCUGCCGCACGGGCAGCCCUUAAAAUCAGUGGCGGUGCCAUCUGGCUCUAAGCGUAGUAAUUCUUCUCGCUAUAGAGUCCCGGUGGAUGCUUGCCAUUAACCCCCAAUUUUCUAUGGUUGACCUCGGAUCAGGUAGGGAUACCCGCUGAACUUAAGCAUAUCAAUAAGCGGAGGA
RNAcentral lists this unclassified non-coding RNA (328 nucleotides) under soil metagenome. RNAcentral's name for it is "partial contains 5.8S ribosomal RNA, internal transcribed spacer 2, and large subunit ribosomal RNA". The stretch from base 1 to 120 matches the Rfam family "5.8S ribosomal RNA", at positions 35 to 154 of the family's 154-position model. The record is from RNAcentral.